This 264-nucleotide ribosomal RNA is filed under the name uncultured bacterium. Its description in RNAcentral is "partial 16S ribosomal RNA". It matches the Rfam family "Bacterial small subunit ribosomal RNA", at positions 96 to 354 of the family's 1533-position model. The record is from RNAcentral.
UGGCGAACGGGUGAGUAACACGUGGACAACCUGCCCAAAAGAGGGGGAUAACACUUGGAAACAGGUGCUAAUACCGCAUAACCAUAGUUACCGCAUGGUAACUAUGUAAAAGGUGGCUAUGCUACCGCUUUUGGAUGGGCCCGCGGCGCAUUAGCUAGUUGGUGGGGUAAAGGCUUACCAAGGCAAUGAUGCGUAGCCGAACUGAGAGGUUGAUCGGCCACAUUGGGACUGAGACACGGCCCAAACUCCUACGGAAGGCAGCAG